Molecule: ribosomal RNA, 253 nt
Filed under: uncultured bacterium
Lineage: Bacteria
Description: partial 16S ribosomal RNA
Rfam family: Bacterial small subunit ribosomal RNA
Source: RNAcentral
UACGGAGGGGGCUAGCGUUGUUCGGAAUUACUGGGCGUAAAGCGCACGUAGGCGGCUUUGCAAGUUAGAGGUGAAAGCCCGGGGCUCAACUCCGGAAUUGCCUUUAAAACUGCAUCGCUAGAAUUGUGGAGAGGUAAGUGGAAUUCCGAGUGUAGAGGUGAAAUUCGUAGAUAUCGGGAGGAACACCUGUGGCGAAAGCGGCUCACUGGACCACAACUGACGCUGAGGCGCGAAAGCUAGGGGAGCAAACAGG